GAUGAACGCUGGCGGCGUGCCUAAUACAUGCAAGUCGAGCGAACGGACGAGAAGCUUGCUUCUCUGAUGUUAGCGGCGGACGGGUGAGUAACACGUGGAUAACCUACCUAUAAGACUGGGAUAACUUCGGGAAACCGGAGCUAAUACCGGAUAAUAUUUUGAACCGCAUGGUUCAAAAGUGAAAGACGGUCUUGCUGUCACUUAUAGAUGGAUCCGCGCUGCAUUAGCUAGUUGGUAAGGUAACGGCUUACCAAGGCAACGAUGCAUAGCCGACCUGAGAGGGUGAUCGGCCACACUGGAACUGAGACACGGUCCAGACUCCUACGGGAGGCAGCAGUAGGGAAUCUUCCGCAAUGGGCGAAAGCCUGACGGAGCAACGCCGCGUGAGUGAUGAAGGUCUUCGGAUCGUAAAACUCUGUUAUUAGGGAAGAACAUAUGUGUAAGUAACUGUGCACAUCUUGACGGUACCUAAUCAGAAAGCCACGGCUAACUACGUGCCAGCAGCCGCGGUAAUACGUAGGUGGCAAGCGUUAUCCGGAAUUAUUGGGCGUAAAGCGCGCGUAGGCGGUUUUUUAAGUCUGAUGUGAAAGCCCACGGCUCAACCGUGGAGGGUCAUUGGAAACUGGAAAACUUGAGUGCAGAAGAGGAAAGUGGAAUUCCAUGUGUAGCGGUGAAAUGCGCAGAGAUAUGGAGGAACACCAGUGGCGAAGGCGACUUUCUGGUCUGUAACUGACGCUGAUGUGCGAAAGCGUGGGGAUCAAACAGGAUUAGAUACCCUGGUAGUCCACGCCGUAAACGAUGAGUGCUAAGUGUUAGGGGGUUUCCGCCCCUUAGUGCUGCAGCUAACGCAUUAAGCACUCCGCCUGGGGAGUACGACCGCAAGGUUGAAACUCAAAGGAAUUGACGGGGACCCGCACAAGCGGUGGAGCAUGUGGUUUAAUUCGAAGCAACGCGAAGAACCUUACCAAAUCUUGACAUCCUUUGACAACUCUAGAGAUAGAGCUUUCCCCUUCGGGGGACAAAGUGAUAGGUGGUGCAUGGUUGUCGUCAGCUCGUGUCGUGAGAUGUUGGGUUAAGUCCCGCAACGAGCGCAACCCUUAAGCUUAGUUGCCAUCAUUAAGUUGGGCACUCUAAGUUGACUGCCGGUGACAAACCGGAGGAAGGUGGGGAUGACGUCAAAUCAUCAUGCCCCUUAUGAUUUGGGCUACACACGUGCUACAAUGGACAAUACAAAGGGCAGCGAAACCGCGAGGUCAAGCAAAUCCCAUAAAGUUGUUCUCAGUUCGGAUUGUAGUCUGCAACUCGACUACAUGAAGCUGGAAUCGCUAGUAAUCGUAGAUCAGCAUGCUACGGUGAAUACGUUCCCGGGUCU
RNAcentral lists this ribosomal RNA (1372 nucleotides) under uncultured bacterium. Its description in RNAcentral is "bacterial SSU rRNA". It matches the Rfam family "Bacterial small subunit ribosomal RNA", at positions 28 to 1381 of the family's 1533-position model. The record is from RNAcentral.